RNAcentral lists this ribosomal RNA (468 nucleotides) under uncultured bacterium. RNAcentral's name for it is "partial 16S ribosomal RNA". It matches the Rfam family "Bacterial small subunit ribosomal RNA", at positions 28 to 507 of the family's 1533-position model. The record is from RNAcentral.
GACGAACGCUGGCGGCGUGCUUAACACAUGCAAGUCGAACGGAAAGGCCCUGCUUUUGUGGGGUGCUCGAGUGGCGAACGGGUGAGUAACACGUGAGUAACCUGCCCUUGACUUUGGGAUAACUUCAGGAAACUGGGGCUAAUACCGGAUAGGAGCUCCUGCUGCAUGGCGGGGGUUGGAAAGUUUCGGCGGUUGGGGAUGGACUCGCGGCUUAUCAGCUUGUUGGUGGGGUAGUGGCUUACCAAGGCUUUGACGGGUAGCCGGCCUGAGAGGGUGACCGGCCACAUUGGGACUGAGAUACGGCCCAGACUCCUACGGGAGGCAGCGGUGGGGAAUAUUGCACAAUGGGCGGAAGCCUGAUGCAGCAACGCCGCGUGCGGGAUGACGGCCUUCGGGUUGUAAACCGCUUUCGCCUGUGACGAAGCGUGAGUGACGGUAAUGGGUAAAGAAGCACCGGCUAACUACGUG